CAAUAGCGUAUAUUUAAGUUGUUGCAGUUAAAAAGCUCGUAGUUGGAUUUCGGUUGAGAGCGGCCGGUCCGCCGUUUGGUGUGCACUGGCUGGUUUCAACUUCCUGUAGAGGACGCGCUCUGGCUUCACGGCUGGACGCGGAGUCUACGUGGUUACUUUGAAAAAAUUAGAGUGUUCAAAGCGGGCUUACGCUUGAAUAUUUCAGCAUGGAAUAACACUAUAGGACUCCUGUCCUAUUUCGUUGGUCUCGGGACGGGAGUAAUGAUUAAGAGGAACAGUUGGGGGCAUUCGUAUUUCAUUGUCAGAGGUGAAAUUCUUGGAUUUAUGAAAGACGAACUUCUGCGAAAGCAUUUGCCAAGGAUGUUUNCAUUAA
Molecule: ribosomal RNA, 373 nt
Filed under: uncultured eukaryote
Lineage: Eukaryota
Description: partial 18S ribosomal RNA
Rfam family: Eukaryotic small subunit ribosomal RNA
Source: RNAcentral